CAGCCGCCGCGGUAAUACGUAGGGUGCAAGCGUUAAUCGGAAUUACUGGGCGUAAAGCGUGCGCAGGCGGUUAUAUAAGACAGAUGUGAAAUCCCCGGGCUCAACCUGGGAACUGCAUUUGUGACUGUAUAGCUAGAGUACGGCAGAGGGGGAUGGAAUUCCGCGUGUAGCAGUGAAAUGCGUAGAUAUGCGGAGGAACACCGAUGGCGAAGGCAAUCCCCUGGGCCUGUACUGACGCUCAUGCACGAAAGCGUGGGGAGCAAACAGGAUUAGAUACCCCAGUAGUCCCUGUCUCUUAUAU
This 301-nucleotide ribosomal RNA is filed under the name uncultured bacterium. RNAcentral describes it as "partial 16S ribosomal RNA". It matches the Rfam family "Bacterial small subunit ribosomal RNA", at positions 509 to 809 of the family's 1533-position model. The record is from RNAcentral.